Molecule: ribosomal RNA, 524 nt
Filed under: uncultured bacterium
Lineage: Bacteria
Description: partial 16S ribosomal RNA
Rfam family: Bacterial small subunit ribosomal RNA
Source: RNAcentral
GACGAACGCUGGCGGCGUGCCUAAUACAUGCAAGUCGAGCGCAGGAAACUGACGGAACUCUUCGGAGGGAAGGCAGUGGAAUGAGCGGCGGACGGGUGAGUAACACGUAAGGAACCUGCCUCAAGGAUUGGGAUAACUCCGAGAAAUCGGAGCUAAUACCGGAUAGUUCAUCGGACCUCAUGGUCCGCUGGUGAAAGGCGCUUCGGCGUCACCUUGAGAUGGCCUUGCGGUGCAUUAGCUAGUUGGUGGGGUAACGGCCCACCAAGGCGACGAGGCAUAGCCGACCUGAGAGGGUGAUCGGCCACACUGGGACUGAGACACGGCCCAGACUCCUACGGGAGGCAGCAGUAGGGAAUCUUCCACAAUGGACGAAAGUCUGAUGGAGCAACGCCGCGUGAGUGAUGAAGGUUUUCGGAUCGUAAAACUCUGUUGUAAGGGAAGAACACGUACGAGAGGGAAUGCUCGUACCUCGACGGUACCUUACGAGAAAGCCACGGCUAACUACGUGCCAGCAGCCGCGGUAA